RNAcentral lists this ribosomal RNA (253 nucleotides) under uncultured bacterium. RNAcentral's name for it is "partial 16S ribosomal RNA". It matches the Rfam family "Bacterial small subunit ribosomal RNA", at positions 524 to 776 of the family's 1533-position model. The record is from RNAcentral.
UACGAAGGGGGCUAGCGUUGCUCGGAAUUACUGGGCGUAAAGGGCUCGUAGGCGGCCAACUAAGUCGGACGUGAAAUCCCCAGGCUCAACCUGGGAACUGCGUCCGAUACUGGAUGGCUUGAAUUCGGGAGAGGGAUGCAGAAUUCCAGGUGUAGCGGUGAAAUGCGUAGAUAUCUGGAGGAAUACCGGUGGCGAAGGCGGCAUCCUGGACCGACAUUGACGCUGAUGAGCGAAAGCUAGGGGAGCAAACGGG